UGGGGAAUAUUGCACAAUGGGGAAGCCCUGAUGCAGCAACGCCGCGUGAAGGAAGACGGUUUUCGGAUUGUAAACUUCUUUUCUUAGUGAAGAAGCAAGUGACGGUAGCUAAGGAAUAAGCAUCGGCUAACUACGUGCCAGCAGCCGCGGUAAUACGUAGGAUGCGAGCGUUAUCCGGAAUUACUGGGUGUAAAGGGAGCGCAGGCGGGACUGCAAGUUGGAUGUGAAAUACCGCAGCUUAACUGCGGAGCUGCAUCCAAAACUGUAGUUCUUGAGUGGAGUAGAGGCAAGCGGAAUUCCGAGUGUAGCGGUGAAAUGCGUAGAUAUUCGGAGGAACACCAGUGGCGAAGGCGGCUUGCUGGGCUCUAACUGACGCUGAGGCUCGAAAGUGUGGGGAGCAAACAGGAUUAGAUACCC
Molecule: ribosomal RNA, 417 nt
Filed under: uncultured bacterium
Lineage: Bacteria
Description: bacterial SSU rRNA
Rfam family: Bacterial small subunit ribosomal RNA
Source: RNAcentral